RNAcentral lists this long non-coding RNA (323 nucleotides) under Medicago truncatula (barrel medic). RNAcentral's name for it is "long non-coding RNA (MTRU_LNC000057)". Lineage: Eukaryota; Viridiplantae; Streptophyta; Magnoliopsida; Fabales; Fabaceae. The record is from RNAcentral.
GCUGAUCGGACGGGCAUAAUAGAUUUUUUUUUAAGUUUUAGUCUGAUCUAUUUAACUAAACACAUGCUUUAUAAAAAACUUGUGUAUGACCUUUUUAUUAAACGAACUAGGUCGAGGUAGACUUUAAAUAGGCUAGGUCAUAGGUCCCAAUCAGACGGUUUGACCUGCUCUCACAUCUGCUCAUACUCACGUCAUUUUUUUACUCUCCAUUUUUUUUCUCUCUUUACUAUUUUUAAUUAUUAAGAAUAAAAGAAAAGAAGUAUGUCCCAACUGCCAUCUAUUAAAUAGGAGGCAUUCUUUCAUGAUCACAAACACAAAUGCAU